RNAcentral lists this ribosomal RNA (170 nucleotides) under uncultured bacterium. RNAcentral's name for it is "partial 16S ribosomal RNA". It matches the Rfam family "Eukaryotic small subunit ribosomal RNA", at positions 412 to 583 of the family's 1831-position model. The record is from RNAcentral.
ACUCCUACGGGAGGCAGCAGGCGCGCAAAUUACCCAAUCCUGACACGGGGAGGUAGUGACAAUAAAUAACAAUACCGGCGCGUUAGUGUCUGGUAAUUGGGAAUGAGUACAAUCUAAAUCCCUUACGAGGAUCCAUUGGAGGGCAGUCUGGUGCCAGCAGCCGCGGUAAU